Molecule: long non-coding RNA, 262 nt
Filed under: Mytilus galloprovincialis (Mediterranean mussel)
Lineage: Eukaryota; Metazoa; Mollusca; Bivalvia; Mytilida; Mytilidae
Source: RNAcentral
CUUGCCAAAACUUGAUUACAAAGUUAUUAAACACAAAACCAAUUAAAAUUGGGCGAACAUGUGGGUAAACGGUUUUGGGUGCGAACAUGUAGGGUGCGAAAGUGAAAGGGGGCGAACAUGAGUGGGUGCGAACGUGAAUGGGUGCGAACGGACCCGGAUUCGAAAAUUUCAAUAGUUUCAAUAAAAAAAUCCUAGUAAGUUGCUAUUUUAAUUUUGAAAAUAAUGUAAAAAAUGAUAAAAUAAUUAAUGUCCGCACCCAAUC